Molecule: long non-coding RNA, 452 nt
Organism: Prionailurus viverrinus (fishing cat)
Lineage: Eukaryota; Metazoa; Chordata; Mammalia; Carnivora; Felidae
Exons: 4
Source: RefSeq, a predicted model, not a curated record
UGCUAAUUAACAUCUAGGUCACUUUCAUCAUUCCUAACAUGGAUAUAAAGCCACUUCUGCAAGAGCUAUUGUAAAUACGAAAUACAAAGCCCUGAGGUACAGCAUGCCUGGCAUGUCGAGAAACAGACGAAGACUAAUGUGGCUGGAGCACAAACAGGAAUUCAGAGAGGCUUACAAAAGAAAAGCCCAGGCUCAUAUUUCCACCCCCACUGCAUGGCAUGAGGAAGAAUGGAGACCCUGUAGAAUGGCCAGGGGCAUGAUGACUCGAGGAGAAAAUACACAGGAGCCUGUUUUCCAGCAGGUUACGUGAAAGGGUAAGGACGAAGGGUUUCCCUCCACCCCCCACUCCCCAUCACUCCUCAGCUGUAGGCAGAGCGACUGAGACCUGAAGCUAUUCCCAAACAUCUGAAAACCAUUUAUAAAAAACUGAGGUUACUACAAAUAAAGACACU